This 245-nucleotide ribosomal RNA is filed under the name uncultured Actinomycetales bacterium. Its description in RNAcentral is "partial 16S ribosomal RNA". It matches the Rfam family "Bacterial small subunit ribosomal RNA", at positions 88 to 334 of the family's 1533-position model. The record is from RNAcentral. Lineage: Bacteria; Bacillati; Actinomycetota; Actinomycetes; Actinomycetales.
UGGAUUAGUGGCGAACGGGUGAGUAACACGUGAGUAACCUGCCCUUAACUCUGGGAUAAGCCUGGGAAACUAGGUCUAAUACCGGAUAGGAGCGCCUACCGCAUGGUGGGUGUUGGAAAGAUUUAUCGGUUUUGGAUGGACUCGCGGCCUAUCAGCUUGUUGGUGAGGUAAUGGCUCACCAAGGCGACGACGGGUAGCCGGCCUGAGAGGGUGACCGGCCACACUGGGACUGAGACACGGCCCAG